AGAGUUUGAUCAUGGCUCAGGACGAACGCUGGCGGCACGCUUAACACAUGCAAGUCGAACGAGAGAAGAGGAGCUUGCUUUUCUGAUCUAGUGGCGGACGGGUGAGUAACACGUGAGCAAUCUGCCUUUCAGAGGGGGAUACCGAUUGGAGACGAUCGUUAAUACCGCAUAACAUAAUUGAACCGCAUGAUUUGAUUAUCAAAGAUUUAUCGCUGAAAGAUGAGCUCACGUCUGAUUAGCUAGUUGGUAAGGUAACGGCUUACCAAGGCGACGAUCAGUAGCCGGACUGAGAGGUUGAUCGGCCACAUUGGGACUGAGACACGGCCCAGACUCCUACGGGAGGCAGCAGUGGGGAAUAUUGCACAAUGGAGGAAACUCUGAUGCAGCGAUGCCGCGUGAGGGAAGAAGGUUUUAGGAUUGUAAACAUCUGUCUUCAGGGACGAAAAAAGACGGUACCUGAGGAGGAAGCUCCGGCUAACUACGUGCCAGCAGCCGCGGUAAUACGUAGGGAGCGAGCGUUGUCCGGAAUUACUGGGUGUAAAGGGAGCGUAGGCGGGAUCGCAAGUCAGAUGUGAAAACUAUGGGCUUAACCCAUAAACUGCAUUUGAAACUGUGGUUCUUGAGUGAAGUAGAGGUAAGCGGAAUUCCUAGUGUAGCGGUGAAAUGCGUAGAUAUUAGGAGGAACAUCAGUGGCGAAGGCGGCUUACUGGGCUUUAACUGACGCUGAGGCUCGAAAGCGUGGGGAGCAAACAGGAUUAGAUACCCUGGUAGUCCACGCCGUAAACGAUGAUUACUAGGUGUGGGGGGACUGACCCCUUCCGUGCCACAGCAAACGCAAUAAGUAAUCCACCUGGGGAGUACGACCGCAAGGUUGAAACUCAAAGGAAUUGACGGGGGCCCGCACAAGCAGUGGAGUAUGUGGAUUAAUUCGAAGCAACGCGAAGAACCUUACCAGGUCUUGACAUCGUAUGCAUAGCUCAGAGAUGAGUGAAAUCUCUUCGGAGACAUAUAGACAGGUGGUGCAUGGUUGUCGUCAGCUCGUGUCGUGAGAUGUUGGGUUAAGUCCCGCAACGAGUGCAACCCUUACUGUUAGUUGCUACGCAAGAGCACUCUAGCAGGACUGCCGUUGACAAAACGGAGGAAGGUGGGGAUGACGUCAAAUCAUCAUGCCCCUUAUGACCUGGGCCUCACACGUACUACAAUGGCUGUCAACAGAGGGAAGCAAAGCCGCGAGGUGGAGCGAACCCCUAAAAGCAGUCUUAGUUCGGAUUGUAGGCUGCAACCCGCCUACAUGAAGUCGGAAUUGCUAGUAAUCGCAGAUCAGCAUGCUGCGGUGAAUACGUUCCCGGGCCUUGUACACGCCGCCCGUCACGCCAUGGGAGUCGGUAACACCCGAAGCCUGUAGUCUAACCGCAAGGAGGACGCAGUCGAAGGUGGGAUUGAUGACUGGGGUGAAGUCGUAACAAGGUA
Molecule: ribosomal RNA, 1470 nt
Filed under: metagenome
Description: bacterial SSU rRNA
Rfam family: Bacterial small subunit ribosomal RNA
Source: RNAcentral